Oncorhynchus nerka (sockeye salmon) is the source of this 579-nucleotide long non-coding RNA. RefSeq lists it as uncharacterized. The transcript is spliced from 4 exons. Lineage: Eukaryota; Metazoa; Chordata; Actinopteri; Salmoniformes; Salmonidae. The record is from RefSeq and is a predicted model, not a curated record.
UGACCAGAUAUUAUUGCAUCCAAAGAUCAACUGAACCUAGAACAUAGAUACAGAGACACUUGUCAUCAGGAAGGUGAUCUCUCAGCACAACGGAAAAUAUCCCAAUGACUUGACAUGUUCUGGUUGUGAAUUCAGGCUACAAGGGGUCAGUUCUCUAAAAUGAGUCUCUCAGGAGCGAGAAAGAAGGGGGGCCCUGUCUCUAAAAUGAGUCUCUCUGGGGAACAUGACACCAAAGUUAAGAGUCCAAUCAAGCAGGAGAGACCAGCCUCUCCUGUACCCAGCUGUGUGUCCAUGAAGAGUGACCAGUCUAUGAAUAAACCUAUAGAGUUUAGAGAGGGAGACUUUUCUACUGAACAAAGGUACAAUGUAUCACGUCUGGUGAACAGGUUCCACAUCCUCAGUCAGACCAGUACAAACAGGAUCAGCAGCACAACAAGGUAUCAGGUCUGGCGGAGCAUUUAUCAAUACUGAUAGGACGGGAAGAAAGGGAACGCUGCUCUCAGAUCAGUUUUCUCCAUUCAAAUCUUUGCUUAACAUUAUAAUUAUGUCACAAUACUGACCACAGAUCAGCUUCUAUUA